RNAcentral lists this ribosomal RNA (512 nucleotides) under uncultured bacterium. Its description in RNAcentral is "partial 16S ribosomal RNA". It matches the Rfam family "Bacterial small subunit ribosomal RNA", at positions 28 to 523 of the family's 1533-position model. The record is from RNAcentral.
GACGAACGCUGGCGGCGUGCCUAAUACAUGCAAGUCGAGCGAAUCAAUAGGAGCUUGCUCCUGUUGAUUAGCGGCGGACGGGUGAGUAACACGUGGGCAACCUGCCUGUAAGAUCGAGAUAACUUCGGGAAACCGGAGCUAAUACCGGAUAAUCCUUUUCCACAUAUGUGGGAAAGCUGAAAGACGGUUUCGGCUGUCACUUACAGAUUGGCCCGCGGCGCAUUAGCUAGUUGGGGAGGUAACGGCUCACCAAGGCGACGAUGCGUAGCCGACCUGAGAGGGUGAUCGGCCACACUGGGACUGAGACACGGCCCAGACUCCUACGGGAGGCAGCAGUAGGGAAUCUUCCGCAAUGGACGAAAGUCUGACGGAGCAACGCCGCGUGAGCGAUGAAGGCCUUCGGGUCGUAAAGCUCUGUUGUUAGGGAAGAACAAGUAUCGGAGUAACUGCCGGUACCUUGACGGUACCUAACCAGAAAGCCACGGCUAACUACGUGCCAGCAGCCGCCGUAA